This is a long non-coding RNA of Phyllostomus discolor (pale spear-nosed bat), 178 nucleotides long. RefSeq lists it as uncharacterized. The record is from RefSeq and is a predicted model, not a curated record. The transcript is spliced from 3 exons. NCBI's taxonomy places the organism in Eukaryota, Metazoa, Chordata, Mammalia, Chiroptera, Phyllostomidae.
CCCCAUUUUGUCAAUCUCCCUGUGUUUGUUUCUGUGUAUUAAAUAGAGCUGCUUUGACUCCCUGUCUUAGUAGCAUGGCCUGUUGUAGAAAGCACACCUGUAAAUUGUAUGGGGCGGUGCCUUGGGUAAUUGCCAGGGUAGGGUAACCUGAAUCAGGUUGAUGGAGUCUCAGAUAUGG